Molecule: ribosomal RNA, 253 nt
Filed under: uncultured bacterium
Lineage: Bacteria
Description: partial 16S ribosomal RNA
Rfam family: Bacterial small subunit ribosomal RNA
Source: RNAcentral
GACGUAGGGCGCGAGCGUUGUCCGGAUUUAUUGGGCGUAAAGAGCUCGUAGGCGGUCUGUUGCGUCCGCUGUGAAAACUCGGGGCUUAACCCCGAGCCUGCAGUGGAUACGGGCAGACUAGAGGUAGGUAGGGGAGAAUGGAAUUCCCGGUGUAGCGGUGAAAUGCGCAGAUAUCUGGAGGAACACCGGUGGCGAAGGCGGCAUCCUGGACCGGCAUUGACGCUGAGGCGCGAAAGCUAGGGGAGCAAACGGG